UACGUAGGGUGCAAGCGUUGUCCGGAAUUAUUGGGCGUAAAGAGCUCGUAGGCGGUCUGUCGCGUCGGCUGUGAAAUCCCGAGGCUCAACCUCGGGUCUGCAGUCGAUACGGGCAAACUGGAGUGUUGCAGGGGAGACUGGAAUUCCUGGUGUAGCGGUGAAAUGCGCAGAUAUCAGGAGGAACACCGGUGGCGAAGGCGGUUCUCUGGGCCUUACCUGACGCUGAGGAGCGAAAGCGUGGGGAGCAAACAGG
This 253-nucleotide ribosomal RNA is filed under the name uncultured bacterium. Its description in RNAcentral is "partial 16S ribosomal RNA". It matches the Rfam family "Bacterial small subunit ribosomal RNA", at positions 524 to 776 of the family's 1533-position model. The record is from RNAcentral.